GACGGACGCUGGCGGCGUGCUUAACACAUGCAAGUCGAACGGAAAGGCCCUGCUUUUGUGGGGUGCUCGAGUGGCGAACGGGUGAGUAACACGUGAGUAACCUGCCCUUGACUUUGGGAUAACUUCAGGAAACUGGGGCUAAUACCGGAUAGGGGCUCCUGCUGCAUGGUGGGGGUUGGAAAGUUUCGGCGGUUGGGGAUGGACUCGCGGCUUAUCAGCUUGUUGGUGGGGUAGUGGCUUACCAAGGCUUUGACGGGUAGCCGGCCUGAGAGGGUGACCGGCCACAUUGGGACUGAGAUACGGCCCAGACUCCUACGGGAGGCAGCAGUGGGGAAUAUUGCACAAUGGGCGGAAGCCUGAUGCAGCAACGCCGCGUGCGGGAUGACGGCCUUCGGGUUGUAAACCGCUUUCGCCUGUGACGAAGCGUGAGUGACGGUAAUGGGUAAAGAAGCACCGGCUAACUACGUG
This 468-nucleotide ribosomal RNA is filed under the name uncultured bacterium. RNAcentral's name for it is "partial 16S ribosomal RNA". It matches the Rfam family "Bacterial small subunit ribosomal RNA", at positions 28 to 507 of the family's 1533-position model. The record is from RNAcentral.